This 447-nucleotide ribosomal RNA is filed under the name uncultured bacterium. RNAcentral's name for it is "bacterial SSU rRNA". It matches the Rfam family "Bacterial small subunit ribosomal RNA", at positions 329 to 793 of the family's 1533-position model. The record is from RNAcentral.
UCCCAGACUCCUACGGGAGGCAGCAGUGGGGAAUAUUGCGCAAUGGGCGAAAGCCUGAUGCAGCGACGCCGCGUGAGUGAAGAAGUAUUUCGGUAUGUAAAGCUCUAUCAGCAGGGAAGAAAAUGACGGUACCUGACUAAGAAGCCCCGGCUAACUACGUGCCAGCAGCCGCGGUAAUACGUAGGGGGCAAGCGUUAUCCGGAUUUACUGGGUGUAAAGGGAGCGUAGACGGCAUGGCAAGUCAGAUGUGAAAGCCCGGGGCUCAACCCCGGGACUGCAUUUGAAACUGUCAGGCUGGAGUGCAGGAGAGGUAAGUGGAAUUCCUAGUGUAGCGGUGAAAUGCGUAGAUAUUAGGAGGAACGCCAGUGGCGAAGGCGGCUUACUGGACUGUAACUGACGUUGAGGCUCGAAAGCGUGGGGAGCAAACAGGAUUAGAUACCCCUGUAA